UACGAAGGGUGCUAGCGUUGUUCGGAAUUACUGGGCGUAAAGAGCGCGUAGGCGGUUGUACUAGUCAGGGGUGAAAUCCCACAGCUUAACUGUGGAACUGCCUUUGAAACUGUGCAGCUGGAGUGUGUGAGGGGAUAGCGGAAUUCCUAAUGUAGAGGUGAAAUUCGUAGAUAUUAGGAGGAACACCGGUGGCGAAGGCGGCUAUCUGGCACACAACUGACGCUGAGGCGCGAAAGCGUGGGGAUCAAACAGG
This 253-nucleotide ribosomal RNA is filed under the name uncultured bacterium. RNAcentral describes it as "partial 16S ribosomal RNA". It matches the Rfam family "Bacterial small subunit ribosomal RNA", at positions 524 to 776 of the family's 1533-position model. The record is from RNAcentral.